Molecule: ribosomal RNA, 725 nt
Filed under: Listeria monocytogenes
Lineage: Bacteria; Bacillati; Bacillota; Bacilli; Caryophanales; Listeriaceae
Description: partial 23S ribosomal RNA
Rfam family: Bacterial large subunit ribosomal RNA
Source: RNAcentral
GGAAAAAGCGGAGCCGUAGCGAAAGCGAGUCUGAAUAGGGCGCAUAAGUAACAGGUCGUAGACCCGAAACCAGGUGAUCUACCCAUGUCCAGGAUGAAGGUAAGGUAAUACUUACUGGAGGUCCGAACCCACGCACGUUGAAAAGUGCGGGGAUGAGGUGUGGGUAGCGGAGAAAUUCCAAUCGAACUUGGAGAUAGCUGGUUCUCUCCGAAAUAGCUUUAGGGCUAGCCUCGAGGUAAAGAGUCAUGGAGGUAGAGCACUGUUUGGACUAGGGGCCCUUCUCGGGUUACCGAAUUCAGAUAAACUCCGAAUGCCAUGUACUUAUACUCGGGAGUCAGACUGCGAGUGAUAAGAUCCGUAGUCGAAAGGGAAACAGCCCAGACCACCAGUUAAGGUCCCCAAAUAUAUGUUAAGUGGAAAAGGAUGUGGGGUUGCUUAGACAACCAGGAUGUUGGCUUAGAAGCAGCCACCAUUGAAAGAGUGCGUAAUAGCUCACUGGUCGAGUGACCCCGCGCCGAAAAUGUACCGGGGCUAAACAUAUUACCGAAACUGUGGAUGAACCUCUUUAGAGGUUCGUGGUAGGAGAGCGUUCUAAGGGCGGUGAAGUCAGACCGGAAGGACUGGUGGAGCGCUUAGAAGUGAGAAUGCCGGUAUGAGUAGCGAAAGAAGGGUGAGAAUCCCUUCCACCGAAUAUCUAAGGUUUCCUGAGGAAGGCUCGUCCGCUC